RNAcentral lists this ribosomal RNA (471 nucleotides) under uncultured bacterium. RNAcentral's name for it is "partial 16S ribosomal RNA". It matches the Rfam family "Bacterial small subunit ribosomal RNA", at positions 28 to 507 of the family's 1533-position model. The record is from RNAcentral.
GACGAACGCUGGCGGCGUGCUUAACACGUGCAAGUCGAACGAUGAAGCGGUGCUUGCACCGUGGAUUAGUGGCGAACGGGUGAGUAAUACGUGAGUGACCUACCUUUGACUCUGGGAUAAGCCUGGGAAACUGGGUCUAAUACCGGAUACGACCAAUCUCUGCAUGGGGUGUUGGUGGAAAGCGUUAUGGAGUGGUUUUAGAUGGGCUCACGGCCUAUCAGCUUGUUGGUGAGGUAAUGGCUUACCAAGGCGACGACGGGUAGCCGGCCUGAGAGGGUGACCGGCCACACUGGGACUGAGACACGGCCCAGACUCCUACGGGAGGCAGCAGUGGGGAAUAUUGCACAAUGGGCGCAAGCCUGAUGCAGCGACGCCGCGUGAGGGAUGACGGCCUUCGGGUUGUAAACCUCUGUUAGCAUCGAAGAAGCGAAAGUGACGGUAGGUGCAGAGAAAGCGCCGGCUAACUACGUG